GACGAACGCUGGCGGCGUGCUUAACACAUGCAAGUGGAGUCGACGAACCAGGGCUUGCCCUGGGGCAAGAGCCGCGAACGGGUGAGUAACACGUGGGUAACGUGCCCCGAUGAUCGGGACGAAACCCGGGGAAACCCGGGCUAAUACCGAAUGUGCUCCCCUCACACCAGUGAGGGAUGGAAAGGAAGCUUCGGCCUCCGCAUCGGGGA
Molecule: ribosomal RNA, 209 nt
Filed under: uncultured bacterium
Lineage: Bacteria
Description: partial 16S ribosomal RNA
Rfam family: Bacterial small subunit ribosomal RNA
Source: RNAcentral